Molecule: ribosomal RNA, 258 nt
Filed under: uncultured bacterium
Lineage: Bacteria
Description: partial 16S ribosomal RNA
Rfam family: Bacterial small subunit ribosomal RNA
Source: RNAcentral
AUGAACGCUAGCGGGAGGCCUAACACAUGCAAGCCGAGCGGUAUUGUUUCUUCGGAAAUGAGAGAGCGGCGUACGGGUGCGGAACACGUGUGCAACCUGCCUUUAUCUGGGGGAUAGCCUUUCGAAAGGAAGAUUAAUACUCCAUAAUAUAUUGAACGGCAUCGUUUAAUAUUGAAAGCUCCGGCGGAUAGAGAUGGGCACGCGCAAGAUUAGCUAGUUGGUGAGGUAACGGCUCACCAAGGCGAUGAUCUUUAGGGG